GAAUUCGCCCUUAGAGUUUGAUCCUGGCUCAGGAUGAACGCUGGCGGCAGGCUUAAUACAUGAAAGUCGAACGGUAACGACCGGUAGCAAUACUGGGGCGACGAGUGGCGCACGGGUGCGUAACGCGUAUGCAACCUGCCCUCAACCGGGACAUAACGCCGAGAAAUUGGCGCUAAUAUCCCAUGUGUAUGUGAGGCGGCAUCGUCUUACAUAUAAAGAUUCAUUGGUUGAGGAUGGGCAUGCGUAACAUUAGCUGGUUGGCGGGGUAACGGCCCACCAAGGCGACGAUGUUUAGGGGUUCUGAGAGGAUUCACCUCCACACUGGAACUGAGACACGGUCCAGACUCCUACGGGAGGCAGCAGUGGGGAAUAUUGGGCAAUGGGCGAAAGCCUGACCCAGCAAUGCCGCGUGAGGGAUGAAGGUCUUCGGAUUGUAAACCUCUGUCCUUGGUGACGAAGGAAGUGACGGUAGCCAAGGAGGAAGCCCCGGCUAACUACGUGCCAGCAGCCGCGGUAAUACGUAGGGGGCGAGCGUUGUCCGGAAUUACUGGGCGUAAAGGGUGCGUAGGCGGCACUUUAAGUUGGAUGUGAAAUACCCGGGCUUAACUUGGGGGGUGCAUCCAAUACUGGAGAGCUAGAGUGCAGGAGAGGGAAGCGGAAUUCCUAGUGUAGCGGUGAAAUGCGUAGAUAUUAGGAGGAACACCAGUGGCGAAGGCGGCUUUCUGGACUGUAACUGACGCUGAGGCACGAAAGCGUGGGGAGCAAACAGGAUUAGAUACCCUGGUAGUCCACGCUGUAAACGAAGA
Molecule: ribosomal RNA, 806 nt
Filed under: uncultured bacterium
Lineage: Bacteria
Description: bacterial SSU rRNA
Rfam family: Bacterial small subunit ribosomal RNA
Source: RNAcentral